Molecule: ribosomal RNA, 709 nt
Filed under: uncultured bacterium
Lineage: Bacteria
Description: bacterial SSU rRNA
Rfam family: Bacterial small subunit ribosomal RNA
Source: RNAcentral
CUGUAAGUCCACGCGGUAACCGAUGAAUGCUAGGUGUGGCGGGCAAAGCCCGUCGGUNGCNCCGCAAACGCAUUAAGCAUUCCACUGGGGGAGUACGUUCGCAAGAAUGAAACUCAAAGGAAUUGACGGGGACCCGCACAAGCGGUGGAGUAUGUGGUUUAAUUCGAAGCAACGCGAAGAACCUUACCAAGUCUUGACAUCNCAAUGAAUGUCUGGUAAAGCAGACAGGCCUUCGGGACAUUGGAGACAGGUGGUGCAUGGUUGUCGUCAGCUCGUGUCGUGAGAUGUUGGGUUAAGUCCCGCAACGAGCGCAACCCUUAUCCUUAGUAGCCAGCGAGUGAAGUCGGGCACUCUAGGGAGACUGCCAGGGAGAACCUGGAGGAAGGUGGGGAUGACGUCAAAUCAUCAUGCCCCUUAUGAUUUGGGCUACACACGUGCUACAAUGGCGUAAACAAAGGGAAGCGAAGUGGCGACAUGGAGCGAACCCCAAAAAUAACGUCUCAGUUCGGAUUGUAGUCUGCAACUCGACUACAUGAAGCUGGAAUCGCUAGUAAUCGCGGAUCAGAAUGCCGCGGUGAAUACGUUCCCGGGUCUUGUACACACCGCCCGUCACACCAUGGGAGUCAGUAACGCCCGAAGUCAGUGACCCAACCUAAGGGAGGGAGCUGCCGAAGGCGGGACGGAUAACUGGGGUGAAGUCGUAACAAGG